This 490-nucleotide ribosomal RNA is filed under the name uncultured bacterium. RNAcentral describes it as "partial 16S ribosomal RNA". It matches the Rfam family "Bacterial small subunit ribosomal RNA", at positions 30 to 507 of the family's 1533-position model. The record is from RNAcentral.
AUUGAACGCUGGCGGCAGGCCUAACACAUGCAAGUCGAACGGUAGCAGGAAGAAGCUUGCUUCUUUGCUGACGAGUGGCGGACGGGUGAGUAAUGUCUGGGAAACUGCCUGAUGGAGGGGGAUAACUACUGGAAACGGUAGCUAAUACCGCAUAACGUCGCAAGACCAAAGAGGGGGACCUUCGGGCCUCUUGCCAUCGGAUGUGCCCAGAUGGGAUUAGCUAGUAGGUGGGGUAACGGCUCACCUAGGCGACGAUCCCUAGCUGGUCUGAGAGGAUGACUAGCCACGCUGGAACUGAGACACGGUCCAGACUCCUACGGGAGGCAGCAGUGGGGAAUAUUGCACAAUGGGCGCAAGCCUGAUGCAGCCAUGCCGCGUGUAUGAAGAAGGCCUUCGGGUUGUAAAGUACUUUCAGCGGGGAGGAAGGGAGUAAAGUUAAUACCUUUGCUCAUUGACGUUACCCGCAGAAGAAGCACCGGCUAACUCCGUG